UUAAGCGGAGGAAAAGAAACUAACCAGGAUUUCCCUAGUAGCGGCGAGCGAACAGGAAAGAGCCCAGCACCGAAUCCCGCGGUUCCGCCGCAGGGAAAUGUGGUGUUCGGGAGGGUCCGUUUAUCCCGAGGUGCCGCGUCGCGUCCAAGUCCAUCUUGAAUGGGGCCAAUUACCCGCAGAGGGUGCCAGGCCUGUAGCGACCGGUGCGCGCCUCGGGAGGAUCUCUCCUUAGAGUCGGGUUGCUUGAGAGUGCAGCUCUAAGUGGGUGGUAAACUCCAUCUAAGGCUAAAUACGACCACGAGACCGAUAGCGAACAAGUACCGUGAGGGAAAGUUGAAAAGAACUUUGA
This 349-nucleotide ribosomal RNA is filed under the name Myrmica americana. Its description in RNAcentral is "eukaryotic LSU rRNA". It matches the Rfam family "Eukaryotic large subunit ribosomal RNA", at positions 46 to 379 of the family's 3401-position model. Lineage: Eukaryota; Metazoa; Arthropoda; Insecta; Hymenoptera; Formicidae. RNAcentral also lists the same sequence under 4 other names. The record is from RNAcentral.